AUAGGGGGAUAAUGGACAGCAGGAGGGCUGUUAGGGGAUGACACAGGGCAGUGAUAUUUCAGGAUAAUCUUCCCAACAGGAAAGCACAGACCAAGAACUCAGCUCCCAUCUAGGAAGGCCAACACUGAGCACAGAAAACUUUCUCUAGUGAGCCAUGGGUUCCAGGCUCCUUCUUUGGAUGCUACUUUGUCUCAUGGGAACAGGACCAGUACAGGCAGCAGAAGUUACCCAAACACCAAGACACCUGAUCAAAACAAGAGGGCAACAAGUGACACUGAAUUGUACCCCAGCCUCUGGCCAUGACCGUGUGUUGUGGUACCAACAGGGCAUGGACCACGGUCUCCAGUUCCUCUUUGAUUAUUACUUGGAAUCACAGAGUGCAAAAGGAAAUGUCCCAGACCGGUUCUCAGCUCACCAAUUUAGAGACUACCGCUCUGAGCUGAGCGUGAGUGCCCUGGAACUAGAGGACUCUGCUAUGUAUCUCUGUGCCAGCAGCUUCUAGCACAGCCCUGCCGAGUCCCUAGCCUUCUGUGCACAAACCUCUUUCCUCAU
Ochotona princeps (American pika) is the source of this 552-nucleotide non-coding RNA. The record is from the annotation of a RefSeq genome assembly. NCBI's taxonomy places the organism in Eukaryota, Metazoa, Chordata, Mammalia, Lagomorpha, Ochotonidae.